AUGCUCCCUUUGGCAGCCCACGUACUAAAACUGCAUGAUACAGGGAAGAUCAGCACAGCCCCUAUGCAAGAAAGUCGUACAAAUUCGUGAAGCAGUUCAUAUUUUA
This is a small nuclear RNA of Loxodonta africana (African savanna elephant), 106 nucleotides long. The record is from Ensembl. NCBI's taxonomy places the organism in Eukaryota, Metazoa, Chordata, Mammalia, Proboscidea, Elephantidae.